GGGGAUUUAGCUCAGCAACAUAAGUACCUGCCUUGCAAGCAGGCGGUUGUGAGUUCAAUCCCCA
Molecule: transfer RNA, 64 nt
Organism: Cavia porcellus (domestic guinea pig)
Lineage: Eukaryota; Metazoa; Chordata; Mammalia; Rodentia; Caviidae
Rfam family: tRNA
About the family: Transfer RNA (tRNA) molecules are approximately 80 nucleotides in length. Their secondary structure includes four short double-helical elements and three loops (D, anti-codon, and T loops). Further hydrogen bonds mediate the characteristic L-shaped molecular structure. tRNAs have two regions of fundamental functional importance: the anti-codon, which is responsible for specific mRNA codon recognition, and the 3' end, to which the tRNAs corresponding amino acid is attached (by aminoacyl-tRNA synthetases). tRNAs cope with the degeneracy of the genetic code in two manners: having more than one tRNA (with a specific anti-codon) for a particular amino acid; and 'wobble' base-pairing, i.e. permitting non-standard base-pairing at the 3rd anti-codon position.
Source: Rfam